Molecule: long non-coding RNA, 711 nt
Filed under: Anas platyrhynchos platyrhynchos (common mallard)
Lineage: Eukaryota; Metazoa; Chordata; Aves; Anseriformes; Anatidae
Description: lncRNA (ENSAPLG00000023341.1)
Source: RNAcentral
CUACCUGAGAUUCCCAGAUCGGGUCUCGGAGUCUUCUGUCACUUCUGUGAACAUAUUUUUAGUGUCUGACUCUUCAAGUUCAAAACCCUGUACCUUGUGUUUCUGAACUGGCAGAGUGGCAAGGAACUUGUGGGAGCAGAGAGCACUUCUGAAAGAAGAGAGAUGCUUUUUCAGAUACAAUUGCACUUUGGAAGAAAGGACAAGACCCAGAAGCCAAAGCAGGCAACCUGCCUGGAUUUGGGCACCUAACUCAGAUCAGGUUUCCUAAUUCUAGGAGCAGACGCUGCAUAUCUGAACUACCCGUGCAUCUUUCAAGAGCAACUAUGUGAGGUAGAUUUUUUUUUGGACAUACUGGGAAUUGCGUCCAAAAGGAUCUGCACCAGCUUUCCAAACUUCAAAUUUCAAGUGAAACACGUGAGAAGAGAGGAAAAAUCUGACAGAAGAGGUGAAUCAGAACUGAGGAUUGUGCCAUUUUGCACUCAGAUGGGACAGGAUCUUGCCUUGACUGUGCUGGCAGCCAGGCAUGUGCUGAUUCUGCUGGUGAACAUGGCAAAACCCAGACUCCUCAGCAUGGUGGUGGGCUGGGGAUCUGGGACCAGCAGUGCAGUUUGUGAUGGAGAAGGCAAGAGCGAGAAACGAAAAGCAGACCAAAGGGAGGCAAAAACGAAGAAGCUUACAAAAUUAAUCUUGUAUAUAUUAGAUGGAAUAUAA